Molecule: ribosomal RNA, 446 nt
Filed under: uncultured bacterium
Lineage: Bacteria
Description: partial 16S ribosomal RNA
Rfam family: Bacterial small subunit ribosomal RNA
Source: RNAcentral
CCUACGGGCGGCAGCAGUCGAGAAUCAUUCACAAUGGGGGAAACCCUGAUGGUGCGACGCCGCGUGGGGGAAUGAAGGUCUUCGGAUUGUAAACCCCUGUCAUGUGGGAGCAAAUUAAAAAGAUAGUACCACAAGAGGAAGAGACGGCUAACUCUGUGCCAGCAGCCGCGGUAAUACAGAGGUCUCAAGCGUUGUGAGGAACCACUGUGCGGAAAGCGUGCGUAGGCUGUUUCGUAAGUCGUGUGUGAAAGGCGCGGGCUCAACCCGCGGACGGCACAUGAUACUGCGAGACUAGAGAAAUGGAGGGGGAACCGGAAUUCGCGGUGUAGCAGUGAAAUGCGUACAUAUCGAGAGGAACACUCGUGGCGAAGGCGGGUUCCUGGACAUUAACUGACGCUGAGGCACGAAGGCCAGGGGAGCGAAAGGGAUUAGAUACCCGAGUAGUC